UUCGCUGGCUUGCUAGUCUAAGUCAACUUUUAAGCAUGUUUACAUGUAAAUAAGGGUAUGACAGCAACUAAUAAUGAAUUGUAAAACUAUUUACGGAUAAGUGCUAUCGAUUUAACGUAAUGAUAGAACUUUAAUGAAGUUAUUUAUGAAGCAAUCAGCCUUCGAUGUUCGUACAUGGAACUUUCGUAACCAGCAGGUCAGAGAGAUGGCCUUUUUGAACCAGGCUGGUUCGUUUGAACCAGGCUAGUUCAAGUGACCCAUAUUAAGACAUGUAUACAUAGGCCUAAUGAACCAUAAAUCACGAGACACGCGUUUUUCUGGUUUUAGAAGAAGACUUACAAUCAUUGUGUUGAUAUUCGCAUCAUGGUAUGGAUAUUUUAUGAUUUAUUGGACUUUUACUCAUGCAGUGCAACUAAAUUUCAAUGAAUUUGACACUUACAACAACCUGCGAAUCGCUUUGCAAACAGGUACAUUAUUUUGUACAAUUAGGUCACCAUAAUCUUACAAAAUUCUUAAAGGCAGUGGCUAGUGAACCGUCACCGGUGCAGCAGACCCGAGGUCUAGUGCACCGUCAUUUUUAAUAUAUAUAAAACAUAGCCUUUCUGUAAAAUUUCUUUGAAAGAUAUUUUCACCAGUAAUAAGCAAGAACAUAAUUAAAAGAAUGAAGUAAGAUAAACCUUGACUUACUUGUUAAUUUAUGGCUUUACCUCAAGCGCUGAUCUUCGUUCUUCGGCAACGUUAGUAUCCGUCAUUUACUAAGAUAUUUCCGAAUGACAGAAUGAAUUUCUUUGAUUUUUUUUUUUUUAUUUUCAUGAAUACCAUAUAUUUUUGUCAAUUUAAGUCGAAUAUAUAAAAAUAAUUAUUGUCUAUAUUUGGAUAUAUAUGUAAGUAUACAUAUCAAAAUUGAAAUUCGAUCUUAAUUUCAGAUUUUUAUCUCAUGGGACCGUAAAUUCGGAAAUAUUGACAUCUUGCAAGCAAAUAUUUUAUAAUGUACAGGCACGGUGAAAACUGUUUAAAAUUUCAAUAUUUGUUAUAUUAUUGAUUACAAUAGCUACAUUUCACGAAAUCCAUGAUUAAAACUGUGAAAGACAAUAAAGAUUAAAUUAAGACAAUGAAUGGAGGUCUACAAAUGUAGGCGUUGUUGGAUUGCUUGUUAAAGUUAUUUAAUGAUUGGAUUGGGUGUGUUUAUCUUUUGUGGUGGCAGCUCUGAUCAUGAGACAGUGAAUCUGAAAUACUGUUGACGAAGAAUGAAGAUAGCGUGUUGAGGUAAAUUGGUAAAUUAUAAGGUAAAUCAAGGUUUAUCUUACUUCAUUCUUUUAAUAAUGGUCAUACAUAUUACUGGUGACAAGAUGUUAUAAUUAUACUUCAAAGAAAAGCUGCAGUGAUUUUUUUUGCCAUUUUGGGAAAAGGUCCGGUACCAGUUGAAUUGGGAAAAAUGACGGUGUUUUUAACCCAAAUUGGGAAUUUUAGCAGGGUUUUUAUUCAAAUUGGGAAUUUUUGCAAUAAGUCAAUAACAUCAUUUAGAACACUUCUUCCUUUAAUUCCAUGUAAACAUCAUCCAAUAAACAUAAUGAAUGGUUAAAUGAUUUAUAGUGAAAUGUCCCUUUUUUCAUAUUCUUGAAAAUGUCAACUGUUGGCUGUCCGAGUCCCUGUAAGAGGGGUCUGACCCUCUGUACAGAGUAACAUAAGUUUUGAAACUCGAUAGUCAUUGACUCUUCAGUCUAAAUUUUCAAGGGUCAAAAUCAUAUUUUCAAGAGACAAGAUCAACAUUUCAGGGGUCAACCUAUACUGAAUGCUUCAAAAUAAGAGAUGCUUUUGCAACAGUGUUCAUAUUUUUCUUACAUGCAGACUUUGUAUUGGCUUUUUAUUUAGAUUGUACUAGAAAAAUCUUGUAAGAAAUGAUGGAAAUGUCCGAAAAUUACGGUCGCGAAAACGGGUGACAAAUAUGUAAAACGAAAUUUAACAUUUUAAAUUCUUGAUAAAAUACCUGUUUCAAGUUGUUUUUUUUUCACCAUACCUAUUCAGUACUUAUAAUUUCUACUUAUUUACAGCAUAUAAUUUGUUUUGGACCAAACAAAGCCUCGGCAAUGAUAAUAAAAUUGCUAUAGACCGUAACGGUUGACCGGCUUAGGUAAUCGUAUAGAGGACACAAAAUAAUGAUUUUAAUUAUCCAAUUUGUAGUUAUUUUAAGUUGGCAAGACAUAUUACAAUACAACAUAAGCUGUAUACCGCUAAUUAAAAAGUGGUACAAACACGAUACUGUACAGUCAGGAGUGUAACUGUUUAAAGUUAUCGCAGUUUAUAACCCAUUUGAGUUAUUGCUUAUACUUUCAUAACUUGUUUCAGUUAUCAUAAAAUAUUAUAAAGCCCUCCUGUGCCAAUUCCGUAUUUUGAAUGUGACUAAUGCUAUUAUUACCUGAAUCCUUGACAUUUUAUCUUUCCAGCUCUGCAGUAAAAAAUUUUACGCAAGGCCGAUAAAGUUUUACGCAAGAGUUUUAAAGCUAUAAAACUCUUAACAUCCCAUUAUGCUUAUCAGGUCAUGAUCAGACUAAAAGAGAAUUUGAUUAAUCACAGUUUGCUACUAAUUUCACUAUAAAGGUCACUUUGUAAGAAGAGCAAAAAGACUUUUAUUGAAUAACUUACCCGAGUUAACAAUAUUUUAUAACUAAUACAGGUUAUAAAAUGCUUGAAAAAGUAACUGAAAUAGGUUACCUAACUUAAAACAGUUACACCCCUGACUGCUGUAAGGCUGCAUUGUUUAUCAAUUAACUUUUACACAUUUAUCAAUAGACACGGUUGAUAAUGACACGGCAUUGUGCUAAAUACAAACCGCGAGAUGAUCACGUGUCAGUCGGCGCGUGGCGUGGUAGCUAAUUAACAUACGACGCUCUGCCUCCUGCUAUACUUCCGCUCGUGCCGGCAAACGGUAUUGAAAUUCUCUGGGAUUUUGAUUGACAAGGGGCAGGACUUUCGAACUUAGACGCAUCAAAAAAAUUUCCGCGAGUCAAACCGACGCACGAGGCAUAUAAUCAGCGGGUCAAAUACGAGUUUUUCUCGGUUUUUCGUGGGUCAAAACCCGGGACCUCGGGUCUACUGAAUGCCCUGGUAAAUCGGGCCGUCUUUUUUACCGAAAUACCUUCGGGCGGGGUUUAUUCUUUUACGUCAGAAUGAAGGUUUUUCGUUCUCGGCCUCGAGCGUUUUGUAAAUUUAUACGAUACAAUCAGUUUGUCUGGGUCAUUUUGGGAAUUUUUGGAUGAGAAUUGGGAAAAAAAGAUACCUUUUUCAAUUGGGAAAAGGUCCGUUUACCGGACCUUUAUAAAGAACGAAAAAAAUCGCUGAAGCUAUAUUUUAUAUAUAACAAAAAUGACGGUGCACUAGACCUCAGGUCUGCUGCACCGAUGACGGUGCACUAGACCUCGGGUCUGCUGCACCGGUGACGGUUCACUAGCCACUGCCAUUCUUAAAAAAGCAUAAUGUAGCUGUUGGAAAAUCUUAAUUUCGGCCAUUUGUAAAAUCCAAGAGAUAAAGGAGGAAGAAAACACACUGACUUCCGCUGAUUUGAGAAGCAGCAGUAUAUUCGUAUCUCUCUGCAUCCGUAAUUUAAAUAUGGCAACAUUUAUCUCCCUUUAUACUAUUUUCAGUUUCGCCAGCAUCAAAUGGCUACUUUCAGUCACAUGAUCAUAAUACAGCUGGGAAAAUUGCAAAAUGGCGGCGAGCUGAUGAAGCACGGCAAAAUAAUGUAUAAAAGUUGAAAAAUACCGUAAAUUUGAUGCAAAUAACUCCUGCUUUUUUGACAAAUCUAAAUUUGUUCCAUUUGAUCUUUGUUCUGUGGCAAAAAUCUAGUCAAUGCAGCUUAUGUAACUUGUCUGAGCACGAAGUUCAUCCUCAGAAGUAAGCCUCUACGUCAAAACAAGAUUGCGAAUAUGUUUCUAAGCACAUAUUUUUACAAGUUUUUCAUCACAAUUUAAUAUUUAUGACAAAUAUGGUUCAUUAGGCCCAUGUGUACAUGUCUUGUUAUGGGUCAGUUGGACCAGCCUGGUUCAAAUGAACCAGCUGGUGCAAACAGGCCAUCUCUCUGACCUGACCAGUGUCAGGCAAGAUAAAAAAUUACUACAAGGAACAAUUUCAACAAAUUUCUGGAUACCACAAUAUGAUUGUAACAUGUGAAUUGAAGUCAGACACCUUACCACCAUGCAACAGUAUCAUCUUUCUUCCGUAACCGCCGAACCCCUUUCGGUGAUGUAGACGUUGUUCGUCCCUUUUUUAUGGUUUGGCAGAUUCCCUAGAGAGCUGCAAUGUGAGAAGUGACAGUAAUGCAGAAUACCUACAGACCUUGAACAUGUUGAAGAGAAAUGAAGAGAUACAGCUCUAAAUUGUUCCACAUGGUGUGUGUGGGAAACAUAGUGGACAGAAAGCAUGUGACAAUGUGAAGUAACAGUAACACAGAAUGGCUAGAGACCAUUAACUUAAAAACUGAAGAGAUGCAGGUCUUUGUCAUGUUUGUUCUAUAUGGUGAUUGGUGGAACCAUGGUGCAGUUUUGAAUUUAUAAGGUGUAAAGUUACAGAAAAGCAGAAUAGCUACAGACCAUGAAAUUUAGAAAUGAAGAGAUGCAUGUCUUUGUUCAGCAUGGUGUAUAUGGGAAACAUUGUGGGUCGCAGACAUGAAAUGAUUUAUGUGAAGUAACAGUUAAGCAGAAUGGCUACAGACAAUUAGUUCAGAAUUGAAGAAGAGAUGCAGAUCUUUGUUCUAUAUGAUGUAUGAGGGAACCAUGGUGGAAAUUUGGAUUUCAUGGCAGUCAUAGAAAUAUCUAAUAAGUCUGUAGGACAGUUAUAUGUGUACCAGUCUGUCAGACUAUUAUGUGUCUGUCCAGUUGAAAAAAUUGCAGUGGAUGCUUAGUUUCUCACAUAAUUUUGGCAGAAUUUUCACACAAGACAGAUUGCAAAAGACUUUAGUACCCAAAAACCUGAAAUGAGAGUGCUUUGACAAUAUAAAGUUUUUCGCAUAGACCGGGAUUGGCCGCCUCUGUAUAUAUAAGUCUACAACUUCUCAGAUUUGACCGAAGACAUUUGUUUGGUGUUGUGAAUGGGAAAAUAAUUCCAUUAUGUGGUUUGGCCGCAGGCUUUCCAAUCACAUAGGAAGAUACUGGUUCUAUCACAAGAAGGGUCACAUCAAUUGAUAUUAGUCACUGGAAAAAAUUUGAGAACCAGUUGUAGAUUCUCCGGUUGAAAUUUAUUAAGAGAAAUACAUUGAGGUAGGGCAGUUUUCCAAAAACGCAACAAGAAGUUCACAUUUGUUGCACAGAUUUGUGUCUCACAUGUAUGGAGUUGAAGGAAUAGUUUACAGGAAAAGGGUACAGAAUAUGUAAGGAUAUGACAGCUAAACAUCUUCUCCAAGAUUCCAUGCAGCAACCUUCUGAUAGAAAGAUGUACCUGUUGUGCAAAGGGGAUAAGCUGGCUUGGUGACAGCAAUAAAAUGAGCAGAUUUCAAAAGUUGGCCUUUGGCAGUCAAAAGUUAAAAUGACUUGGAACAGUCAAACUAACCAAAACAUUGCAGGUCAGGUAUAUACUCCGGUUACAGAUUGCAGUAUCAGCCAGAAACCACAGCCAUUCUAAAUAUAGGACGAACACAAUCAGACAACCUGGCAAGAAGAUUUUACGAUCAGGAGUGUUGACAUUCUGCUCAAGAUUCUAGUCUGGAGAUACCAUCGGCGAUCUUAGAGAUUUAAGUUUAAAAAUGUGAAAUUGACUUUUAAAAGACUACAUUAAUAUUUUAUACUGUUUUCAGUCAAAGGGUUUAAACUUCUUUUUUGGGGGGAGGGGGGAUAACUGUACUGCAUACAAUUUUGUAUGGCAAAAUAAAACAAAGAAAAAUAUUUUUAUGUUAAAAAUACCUUUUUAUAUAUGAAUACUUAUGAAUUGACUUUUUCAUGUCUCUAAGAUACGCAAGAUUGCAGUGAUUGCUUGUUAGCUCAUCAGAGCACGAAGUAUUCAAGGUGAGCAAUUGUGACCGGUCAUUGUCAG
Molecule: long non-coding RNA, 6021 nt
Organism: Mercenaria mercenaria
Lineage: Eukaryota; Metazoa; Mollusca; Bivalvia; Venerida; Veneridae
Exons: 12
Source: RefSeq, a predicted model, not a curated record